Non-coding RNA from Malus domestica (apple), 258 nucleotides. NCBI's taxonomy places the organism in Eukaryota, Viridiplantae, Streptophyta, Magnoliopsida, Rosales, Rosaceae. The record is from RefSeq and is a predicted model, not a curated record.
CAAUUUAGUCAGAACGAACUCUCGCUCUCUCCUUCCUCUCCAGACGGUACAAGAAAAUCUCUUGGUCUCUCCUUCCUCUUCAGACGCACCGCUCCCAGGAAAUAUUUGUUUUGUUGAUGCUCCCUGUGUUUGUUGGUGUUUAAGGAGAAAGCAAAGCAGAGGGAAGAGUUUGCAAAGCAGCAGCAUGCAUAUAUUUUGGCUAUCUGGACAAACUGUUUCUUAGUGAAACCAACUUGCAUUUGUAUAUUUUAUGAACUU